This is an RNA transcript of Salvia hispanica, 1529 nucleotides long. It is a transcript of the gene named putative prolyl 4-hydroxylase 3, with no coding region annotated. The record is from RefSeq and is a predicted model, not a curated record. Lineage: Eukaryota; Viridiplantae; Streptophyta; Magnoliopsida; Lamiales; Lamiaceae.
AGCAGGUGAUCCAUUCCCAUUCGAUUUCAAUUCCCUUUCUCUAUAAAAUUUCACACGAUUUCAAAUCCCAAAUGCUACGAUUCAGCGUAGAGAAAUUUACUAAAUCGUUUGCCGUUAAUUAGGCUUGUAACUCAAUUCAGUUUCAGUUCAGAGAAAACGAAAAUGGCGAAGGCACGGGGAAAUCGGCACCAAGGCAAGAGAUCGUCUACGGUAGUUUUGGUGCUCUCGAUGCUAUUAAUGCUCUCAGUCGUUCUAUUGAUGCUUCUCGGUCUAGGAAUUCUCUCUCUCCCCAUUGGCUCCGAUGAGGGAUUGUCAGCGAUCGGAGAUCAUAUCAAAUUGAAACGCUUAAAAAUAGACGUAAAAAACGAAGGGAAUGGAUUGGGGGAAAGAACGGAACAGUGGACUGAGAUCCUUUCAUGGGAACCUAGGGCUUUCUUGUACCAUAACUUUUUGUCUAAGGAAGAAUGCGAGUAUCUGAUAAAUCUUGCUCGACCCCACAUGGUAAAAUCAACAGUGGUUGAUAGCAAGACUGGCAAGAGUAAAGAUAGCAGGGUUCGAACAAGUUCUGGAACGUUCUUGAGGAGAGGUCGGGAUAAAGUUAUCAGAAAUAUUGAAAAAAGAAUAGCAGACUACACUUUUAUUCCCGCAGAGCAUGGAGAAGGACUACAAAUUUUGCACUAUGAAGUGGGGCAAAAGUACGAGCCUCACUACGACUACUUUCUUGAUGAAUUUAACACAAAAAAUGGAGGUCAACGCAUAGCUACAGUUCUUAUGUAUUUGUCAGAUGUUGAAGAAGGCGGUGAGACAAUUUUCCCUGCCGCCAAGGGAAACUUUAGCUCUUCUUUAGGUUUGUCCGAGUGUGGCAAGAAAGGCCUGGCUGUGAAACCGAAGAUGGGCGACGCACUACUUUUCUGGAGUAUGUGCCCUGAUGCUUCUUUAGAUCCAUCAAGCUUGCAUGGAGGCUGUCCUGUUAUCAAAGGGAAUAAGUGGUCAUCUACAAAGUGGAUGCAUGUUGGUGAAUACAGAGUGUAGUGAAUCUCUGAGACAGGAAAAUGGUAGUCUUUGUUGAAGAACUACAUGGUGGUUCAGAAUUUUGUCCUAUCACCUUGGGGUCCAGUGUCGAAUGAUGAAUGGGUGGGAUAAUAUCGCCUCAUUUUCUAUCUUCCCUGUCACAUCUCAAGUUUCGCCACCACACAGGCGAUGUCAUUUGAUUCAUCACCUCAAGUAAUUCUGGAGAAACGUGUUGCAGGAGACGAGAUUUGGAGGAUUCUUCUCUGAAGAAAAUGGCCUGACUGCUACAGUGCGUACUGAAGAUUAGCAUUCUUACCUAUCCUUCACACGAGAAAUUUCUGAGGUUGAAUGUGUAUGUUAGAUGCGCGGCACCAUACAGCAUGCUUGAUUAAAAUGAUAACUGGAUAUAUUAUAUAAUAGAGGACUCGCUUUUUGCAACUAUGUAAAACAUCAUAUUCUAUGCCGUACCAGCUUUUCCUUGGGCUGGAAACAUCUUUGAUGCCAUGUUAUGUUUUUCA